RNAcentral lists this small nucleolar RNA (76 nucleotides) under Triticum aestivum (bread wheat). RNAcentral's name for it is "snoRNA snoZ119". Lineage: Eukaryota; Viridiplantae; Streptophyta; Magnoliopsida; Poales; Poaceae. The record is from RNAcentral.
AUGAAUAUCAGAGGCUGUUUCUGAGGUUGAGCCCAGAGCUCUACUAUGUUGCAAAGUAACUGAUUUGCCUAUUUGA